This 301-nucleotide ribosomal RNA is filed under the name uncultured bacterium. RNAcentral's name for it is "partial 16S ribosomal RNA". It matches the Rfam family "Bacterial small subunit ribosomal RNA", at positions 509 to 807 of the family's 1533-position model. The record is from RNAcentral.
CAGUCGCCGCGGUAAUACCGAGGGUGCGAGCGUUAAUCGGAAUUACUGGGCGUAAAGCGUGCGCAGGCGGUUAUAUAAGACAGAUGUGAAAUCCCCGGGCUCAACCUGGGAACUGCAUUUGUGACUGUAUAGCUAGAGUACGGCAGAGGGGGAUGGAAUUCCGCGUGUAGCAGUGAAAUGCGUAGAUAUGCGGAGGAACACCGAUGGCGAAGGCAAUCCCCUGGGCCUGUACUGACGCUCAUGCACGAAAGCGUGGGGAGCAAACAGGAUUAGAUACCCCUGUAGUCCCUGUCUCUUAUAC